GAAUCCAAGAAUGGCCUCCAACAUUCUAAGAAGAUAAAGAUGGCUAUGAACCUCUGAUCUUCCUGCCCCCAUCCUACCAAGUACUGAGAAUACAGAUUUGUGCCUUGCCAGCAAGUUUUACAGUCUAUGGUAAAAUCAUAUCAGGAAGAAUAUCUCUCCUAGAUGGCUUCUGGCAGUGAUCAAAUUCAGUGGAAGGUAAAUCUCCAUUGCUGAAGAGACCAUACACUUCCAACAUAGGGCUCAACAGCCUGAGAGCUUCAUCUGCCUUGAACACCUCUCUUAGGGCUAGGUUUUAUGGUACCAGAAGGCAAUAGCAAAGCUUCCAAAAGAGGGAAGGAACCAACAAUCUUAUCCAGGUAUAUUUCAGUAUGGACUUAUUCAAAGAAGCCUCAGCUGUCCUGUUCACCACUGAAGAAAAGUAGCACAUCCUCCUGGAAGCAUGGAAAAAUGUUCCAGGAGUGAAUGGAGUUCCAAACAACCUGCCUAAUGAGAUUAACACAGGGUUGCCUCUGGACUGGCCUGAUUGGGAUUACAAUAUGGCUCAAGGUAGGGAGAGAUUGACAGUUUACCUCCGGGCUCUGGUGGCAAGUCUCAAGGGAGUGGUGAGAUGCCCCACCAAUUUGGCUUAGGUAAUAGAGGUGAUGCAGGGCCCUACCAAGCCCCUGUCUGUUUUUCUAG
Long non-coding RNA from Mus musculus (house mouse), 678 nucleotides. RefSeq annotates it as predicted gene, 39589. The record is from RefSeq and is a predicted model, not a curated record. The transcript has 4 exons. Lineage: Eukaryota; Metazoa; Chordata; Mammalia; Rodentia; Muridae.